This 29-nucleotide non-coding RNA is filed under the name Cricetulus griseus (Chinese hamster). Lineage: Eukaryota; Metazoa; Chordata; Mammalia; Rodentia; Cricetidae. The record is from RNAcentral.
GUCAAUUCUGAAGAGCGUUUGAAAGCAGG